This 253-nucleotide ribosomal RNA is filed under the name uncultured bacterium. RNAcentral describes it as "partial 16S ribosomal RNA". It matches the Rfam family "Bacterial small subunit ribosomal RNA", at positions 524 to 776 of the family's 1533-position model. The record is from RNAcentral.
UACGGGGGGGGCAAGCGUUGUUCGGAAUUACUGGGCGUAAAGGGCUCGUAGGCGGCCAACUAAGUCGGACGUGAAAUCCCCAGGCUCAACCUGGGAACUGCGUCCGAUACUGGAUGGCUUGAAUUCGGGAGAGGGAUGCAGAAUUCCAGGUGUAGCGGUGAAAUGCGUAGAUAUCUGGAGGAAUACCGGUGGCGAAGGCGGCAUCCUGGACCGACACUGACGCUGAGGAGCGAAAGCCAGGGGAGCAAACGGG